This 505-nucleotide ribosomal RNA is filed under the name uncultured bacterium. Its description in RNAcentral is "partial 16S ribosomal RNA". It matches the Rfam family "Bacterial small subunit ribosomal RNA", at positions 28 to 507 of the family's 1533-position model. The record is from RNAcentral.
GACGAACGCUGGCGGCGUGCCUAAUACAUGCAAGUCGAACGCACAGUUUAUACCGUAGCUUGCUACACCAUAGACUGUGAGUUGCGAACGGGUGAGUAACGCGUAGGUAACCUGCCUGGUAGCGGGGGAUAACUAUUGGAAACGAUAGCUAAUACCGCAUAAUAUUAAUUAUUGCAUGAUAAUUAAUUGAAAGGUGCAAUUGCACCACUACCAGAUGGACCUGCGUUGUAUUAGCUAGUAGGUGAGGUAACGGCUCACCUAGGCGACGAUACAUAGCCGACCUGAGAGGGUGAUCGGCCACACUGGGACUGAGACACGGCCCAGACUCCUACGGGAGGCAGCAGUAGGGAAUCUUCGGCAAUGGACGAAGGUCUGACCGAGCAACGCCGCGUGAGUGAAGAAGGUUUUCGGAUCGUAAAGCUCUGUUGUAAGAGAAGAACGGGUGUGAGAGUGGAAAGUUCACACUGUGACGGUAUCUUACCAGAAAGGGACGGCUAACUACGUG